AUUCGCAGGACCAGAAAAAAAAAGGGUACCGGUAAACUGACAGGGGAAGAGAUCUGUGGUAGGCUAGGUGAGGACCAACAGAUACAGUUGAGGGUGCAGACAGAGCAGAUUAAGAUGGGACUAUCAUUAAAAAACAGGUGAGAAACUGGGGCCGGAGAUUUAGCUCGGUGGUGCCGCCACCUGCCUCACAAGCACAAGGUCCCGAGUUUGAUCCCCGGUACAGAGAAAAAAAGAAAAACAGGUGAGGCAGCAGUGAGAAGGGGGUGAAGGUGGCAGCAAGCAGCUGGUGAGGGCGGAGGGUAUCCAUGAGAACUAGGUGGGCUGGAGCUGGGGUUGGGGGGGGGGGGGUCACAGUGCCGCUUUUCCUCUCAAAGAACUUUAGACUUUGGGAACCAGGUGACGUAGGCCUAAAGCUUUAUUAGAGGGCGGGCGAGGGGCGUGGUCAGUUGGGGCAUCCAAAGACCACCAUGCUCUCCGUGAAGGCGCCCAGCUCCUGGCACUGCUUCUGGUUCUCCUCGUCUUGGCAUUCUUCCGCCUCGGGCCACAGCUCCACCCAGGUAUCCUUCCCGAUGAUGUAACUGAUGCUGUGGGCCGGACGACAGGUCGGAGGAGACGCCCCACAUGAGGUAGUGCUUCCCGUCCUUCAGGCGCAGGGCGUCUCUGCACUUGACGUGGCUGAUGAACCUGCGCUCCUGCCCAGCCUGCACCUCAUCGGAGCCUGGGUGGAGAGGGAGGGAUGCUGAGCUGCGGGGUGGAGCGGGGGGACAGAGGGGAGCGGGCAGGAAGAUGAGCGCCCCGCUGACCUGACUUGAUGACCUGUUCAAUCGUCAUUAUGUAUUCGUCGAAAUCGUCGGACAGCUCCAUCUUGACCAGCUUGGUUUUGUACACUGUGGGGUGGAGGGGGCCGUGUGGGUCCUGGGCGGGGUUGACGGUUGGGCCCCCAGCCCCAAGCAGAGACACGGGGAUCACAGCCAGUCGCGUGGAGUCCACCCAGUGAACACCACCACCACACAGGGUGACAGUCACAGCCCACGCGGUCAUGCACAGAGGCACAGAUGACAGCCGCCCGCAGGGACGGUCACGUGCAAAGGACAGAUGCUG
This 1101-nucleotide long non-coding RNA is filed under the name Heterocephalus glaber (naked mole-rat). Its description in RNAcentral is "lncRNA (ENSHGLG00000048220.1)". The record is from RNAcentral. Lineage: Eukaryota; Metazoa; Chordata; Mammalia; Rodentia; Bathyergidae.